Molecule: ribosomal RNA, 1083 nt
Filed under: Pseudomonas sp. EA_R_68
Lineage: Bacteria; Pseudomonadati; Pseudomonadota; Gammaproteobacteria; Pseudomonadales; Pseudomonadaceae
Description: bacterial SSU rRNA
Rfam family: Bacterial small subunit ribosomal RNA
Source: RNAcentral
GCGGCAGGCCUAACACAUGCAAGUCGAGCGGUAGAGAGGUGCUUGCACCUCUUGAGAGCGGCGGACGGGUGAGUAAUGCCUAGGAAUCUGCCUGGUAGUGGGGGAUAACGCUCGGAAACGGACGCUAAUACCGCAUACGUCCUACGGGAGAAAGCAGGGGACCUUCGGGCCUUGCGCUAUCAGAUGAGCCUAGGUCGGAUUAGCUAGUUGGUGAGGUAAUGGCUCACCAAGGCGACGAUCCGUAACUGGUCUGAGAGGAUGAUCAGUCACACUGGAACUGAGACACGGUCCAGACUCCUACGGGAGGCAGCAGUGGGGAAUAUUGGACAAUGGGCGAAAGCCUGAUCCAGCCAUGCCGCGUGUGUGAAGAAGGUCUUCGGAUUGUAAAGCACUUUAAGUUGGGAGGAAGGGCAUUAACCUAAUACGUUAGUGUUUUGACGUUACCGACAGAAUAAGCACCGGCUAACUCUGUGCCAGCAGCCGCGGUAAUACAGAGGGUGCAAGCGUUAAUCGGAAUUACUGGGCGUAAAGCGCGCGUAGGUGGUUCGUUAAGUUGGAUGUGAAAUCCCCGGGCUCAACCUGGGAACUGCAUUCAAAACUGUCGAGCUAGAGUAUGGUAGAGGGUGGUGGAAUUUCCUGUGUAGCGGUGAAAUGCGUAGAUAUAGGAAGGAACACCAGUGGCGAAGGCGACCACCUGGACUGAUACUGACACUGAGGUGCGAAAGCGUGGGGAGCAAACAGGAUUAGAUACCCUGGUAGUCCACGCCGUAAACGAUGUCAACUAGCCGUUGGGAGCCUUGAGCUCUUAGUGGCGCAGCUAACGCAUUAAGUUGACCGCCUGGGGAGUACGGCCGCAAGGUUAAAACUCAAAUGAAUUGACGGGGGCCCGCACAAGCGGUGGAGCAUGUGGUUUAAUUCGAAGCAACGCGAAGACCCUUACAGGCCUUGACAUCCAAUGAACUUUUCAGAGAUGGAUUGGUGCCUUCGGGAACAUUGAGACACGUGCUGCAUGGCUGUCGUCAGCUCGCGUCGUGAGAAUGUUGGGCUAAAUCCCUGUACCAGCGCCACCCCUUGUCCUUAGUU